GAAUUGACGGGGGCCCGCACAAGCAGUGGAGUAUGUGGUUUAAUUCGAAGCAACGCGAAGAACCUUACCAGAUCUUGACAUCCAACUAAUCCUGUAGAAAUACGGGAGUGCCCUUCGGGGAAAGUUGAGACAGGUGGUGCAUGGUUGUCGUCAGCUCGUGUCGUGAGAUGUUGGGUUAAGUCCCGCAACGAGCGCAACCCUUGUGAUUAGUUGCUACGCAAGAGCACUCUAAUCAGACUGCCGUUGACAAAACGGAGGAAGGUGGGGACGACGUCAAAUCAUCAUGCCCCUUAUGAUCUGGGCUACACACGUACUACAAUGGCCAUCAACAAAGGGAAGCAAAGCCGCGAGGCGGAGCAAAUCCCCAAAAAUGGUCCCAGUUCGGAUCGCAGGCUGCAACCCGCCUGCGUGAAGCCGGAAUUGCUAGUAAUCGCGGAUCAUCAUGCCGCGGUGAAUACGUUCCCGGGCCUUGUACACACCG
This 481-nucleotide ribosomal RNA is filed under the name uncultured Clostridium sp. RNAcentral's name for it is "bacterial SSU rRNA". It matches the Rfam family "Bacterial small subunit ribosomal RNA", at positions 907 to 1392 of the family's 1533-position model. The record is from RNAcentral. Lineage: Bacteria; Bacillati; Bacillota; Clostridia; Eubacteriales; Clostridiaceae.